Molecule: long non-coding RNA, 1389 nt
Organism: Varanus komodoensis (Komodo dragon)
Lineage: Eukaryota; Metazoa; Chordata; Lepidosauria; Squamata; Varanidae
Exons: 3
Source: RefSeq, a predicted model, not a curated record
GUACAAGUGCAUAGCUACUUCAGGCACAGCAAGUUCAUGCGGUGGGAGAGGCAUGUGCUUUCUUCCCCUGUGAUAGGCCGGAUUGGGAGUAGUACUGGAAAUUAUGUCUCCUUCUCUCUCUCUUUGACGUGCAGGAUACUCAGGGAAAUUAGACACCCACACACUAAGUGGAAACUUGCAAUAAACUGAUCAUCUUUAACAAGUGGAGAACUUGGUUUGGACUGAAAGAUGCAAGUUUAACUAGAUGGCAUUUCUCUUCUUAUCUGAGCUAUUACAUGGAGGGGAACAGAAAAACUCAGCUGGCACAUCUGGCCUACGUACAAUACUACCAACCUUCAAAGAGACCAGUGUUUGAAUACAGACCAUGCAUGUCAAAUCCAGUGUGUAGGCCCAACACAUGCAGCUGAUUUUAUUUGGUUGCUCAUAGUGCAGGUGUGAUCUCCUUUCCCCUCUGCAGUUCAGGUAAGCCCCAGUUCUCCUCUUUGCCGUGUUUUUCUCUGGUCAGCUCUCGGGUUCUGAGCUCACUCCCUCUUGCUCCCGUUGCAGUCGGUCCUUGCCAAGCCCUUUAUCUUGCUUAUCCUUUGAUGUGUGCCUCCUGUAGAAAAAUCUCCUUUUUAAUGCUUGCACAGACUGCUCUGCUUCCGUACAUUAAGGACCUUUAUGCAUUGCUCUUGUUCCUGGGGAGGGUGACUUCAGUGCGCCUGACGGACUAUUUUAAUGAGUCAAGUGAAACGAGAAAAAUCCUAAACCAAUCAAUUGACAUCGGAAGCAGGAACCUGAGGAAGAGAGCCACUCUCCGCAUCCUUUCCAUGGGAGAAGGUGGAUGCAGGCACACCAUUCCCCAGCGGAACAUAGAGAUGCACUCUGAAUAUCUUAUAUUCUUUAGGGAUCUGCAUUUAGAAAUUCAAAAGGAAAGCAUACAGAACAACUUCCGUUCAUAUUUAUUUUGUGGUGUAGUAAAUCUGAAGUCGACUGAAUCCAUGCUAAUGAUUCUCGCAUGGAAAUUCCCGUCCUUUUGACAUUUGCUUUCAGAUGCCUUCUUUCAGAUUUAUAUUUCUUGCAGAUGCUCAGUGCAUUUCUGUGCAGAUACUGAAUGGGCGUGGUUGACAUGGCAACACAUCACGUAUGAGUGCAGUGUUGCCAAGAAGAAGCUUGGAUCAGCAAGGGAGAGAGCACCGACAGGCGCAUAAUCCCUCCAAACUAAGGGCUUCAGUUCCCUUCGCUCUACAGCACUGUCCCCAAUUCUGACCAGUGCUCUGUCCUCCCACCUCUACCCCCGCACCUCGUACCACUGAGCUGCACCAAAUUUGAGAGCAAAAGAACAAGAAAGCAGAGGCAUCCAGGAUGGACAGAUGCAGUGCUUUUUUUGUAAGAAAAAAGGUGCCGGAA